This 253-nucleotide ribosomal RNA is filed under the name uncultured bacterium. RNAcentral's name for it is "partial 16S ribosomal RNA". It matches the Rfam family "Bacterial small subunit ribosomal RNA", at positions 524 to 776 of the family's 1533-position model. The record is from RNAcentral.
UACGUAGGGGGCAAGCGUUGUCCGGAUUUAUUGGGCGUAAAGAGCGUGUAGGCGGCCAGAUAGGUCCGUUGUGAAAACUGGAGGCUUAACCUCCAGCUGUCGAUGGAAACCAUCUGGCUAGAGUCCGGAAGAGGAGAGUGGAAUUCCUGGUGUAGCGGUGAAAUGCGCAGAUAUCAGGAAGAACACCGGUGGCGAAGGCGGUUCUCUGGGCAUGACCUGACGCUGAGGAGCGAAAGUGUGGGGAGCGAACAGG